This 311-nucleotide ribosomal RNA is filed under the name uncultured bacterium. Its description in RNAcentral is "bacterial SSU rRNA". It matches the Rfam family "Bacterial small subunit ribosomal RNA", at positions 28 to 334 of the family's 1533-position model. The record is from RNAcentral.
GAUGAACGCUAGCGGCAGGCCUAACACAUGCAAGUCGAACGGUAACAGGGAUUGCUUGCAAUCCGCUGACGAGUGGCGCACGGGUGCGUAACGCGUAUACAAUCUACCUUGUACAGGGGGAUAGCCUUUGGAAACGAAGAUUAAUACCCCAUGGUAUUUAUGAGUGGCAUCACUUAUAUCUUAAAAUUUCGGUGGUACAAGAUGAGUAUGCGUCCUAUUAGUUAGUUGGUGAGGUAACGGCUCACCAAGACUGCGAUAGGUAGGGGUCCUGAGAGGGAGAUCCCCCACACUGGUACUGAGACACGGACCAG